RNAcentral lists this ribosomal RNA (253 nucleotides) under uncultured bacterium. RNAcentral describes it as "partial 16S ribosomal RNA". It matches the Rfam family "Bacterial small subunit ribosomal RNA", at positions 524 to 776 of the family's 1533-position model. The record is from RNAcentral.
UACGUAGGGACCGAGCGUUGUCCGGAAUCAUUGGGCGUAAAGAGCGUGUAGGCGGCUUGUUAAGUCUUGCGUGAAAUCUCGGGGCUCAACCCCGAGCGGUCGUGAGAAACUGGCAGGCUAGAGUGCGGGAGAGGAGAGUGGAAUUCCUGGUGUAGCGGUGAAAUGCGCAGAUAUCAGGAGGAACACCGGUGGCGAAGGCGGCACUCUGGGCCGGUACUGACGCUGAGGAGCGAAAGCGUGGGGAGCGAACAGG